RNAcentral lists this ribosomal RNA (253 nucleotides) under uncultured bacterium. RNAcentral describes it as "partial 16S ribosomal RNA". It matches the Rfam family "Bacterial small subunit ribosomal RNA", at positions 524 to 776 of the family's 1533-position model. The record is from RNAcentral.
UACGUAGGGCGCAAGCGUUAUCCGGAAUUAUUGGGCGUAAAGAGCUCGUAGGCGGUUUGUCGCGUCUGCCGUGAAAGUCCGGGGCCCAACUCCGGAUCUGCGGUGGGUACGGGCAGACUAGAGUGAUGUAGGGGAGACUGGAAUUCCUGGUGUAGCGGUGAAAUGCGCAGAUAUCAGGAGGAACACCGAUGGCGAAGGCAGGUCUCUGGGCAUUAACUGACGCUGAGGAGCGAAAGCAUGGGGAGCGAACAGG